GAAUGUGAAGGAAAUCUGGGUCCAAUGUCUGUGGACCCACUGACUUCUAGAACUGAUGGAGUAUCUACUAAUUAUACGAGACAUUUAUCCCUCACUACUUCAUUUCUAAGCAAAACUGCAAUUCAGGGUUGAUUAGGAGGGCUUUUCCUAACAGAUAAAGUCUCUUCUUUGGUUAAAGUUAUAUGAAUAGCUGCAGGCGUCUGCUAGAAUCUCUAAGUGUAAAAAUUCAAUAUAGAAAACAGUAGUGAAGUAUCUAAAAGAACCUAAAUAUGAAACCAUGU
Molecule: small nuclear RNA, 281 nt
Filed under: Loxodonta africana (African savanna elephant)
Lineage: Eukaryota; Metazoa; Chordata; Mammalia; Proboscidea; Elephantidae
Description: 7SK RNA
Rfam family: 7SK RNA
About the family: 7SK was discovered as an abundant small nuclear RNA in the mid-70s but a possible function has only recently been suggested. Two independent studies have found that 7SK RNA binds the CDK9/cyclin T complex (known as elongation factor P-TEFb). P-TEFb activates transcription by phosphorylating the C-terminal domain of RNA polymerase II.
Source: Rfam by way of RNAcentral